Molecule: ribosomal RNA, 429 nt
Filed under: Gemmatimonadota bacterium
Lineage: Bacteria; Pseudomonadati; Gemmatimonadota
Description: Gemmatimonadetes bacterium partial 16S ribosomal RNA
Rfam family: Bacterial small subunit ribosomal RNA
Source: RNAcentral
UAGGGAAUCUUCGGCAAUGGACGAAAGUCUGACCGAGCAACGCCGCGUGAGUGAAGAAGGUUUUCGGAUCGUAAAACUCUUUUGUUAGAGAAGAACAAGGACGUUAGUAACUGAACGUCCCCUGACGGUAUCUAACCAGAAAGCCACGGCUAACUACGUGCCAGCAGCCGCGGUAAUACGUAGGUGGCAAGCGAUGUCCGGAUUUAUUGGGCGUAAAGCGAGCGCCGGCGGUUUCUUAAGUCUGAUGUGAAGGCCCCCGGCUCAACCGGGGAGGGUCAUUGGAAACUGGGAGAAUUGAGUGCAGAAGAGGAGAGUGGAAUUCCAUGUGUAGCGGUGAAAUGCGUAGUUAUAUGGAGGAACACCAGUGGCGAAGGCGGCUCUCUGGUCUGUAACUGACGCUGAGGCUCGAAAGCGUGGGGAGCCAACAGG